RNAcentral lists this ribosomal RNA (570 nucleotides) under uncultured bacterium. Its description in RNAcentral is "bacterial SSU rRNA". It matches the Rfam family "Bacterial small subunit ribosomal RNA", at positions 917 to 1482 of the family's 1533-position model. The record is from RNAcentral.
GGGCCCGCACAAGCGGCGGAGCAUGCGGAUUAAUUCNAUGCAACGCGAAGAACCUUACCAAGGCUUGACAUGGACCGGACCGGGCUGGAAACAGUCCUUCUCCUUUGGGGCCGGUUCACAGGUGGUGCAUGGUUGUCGUCAGCUCGUGUCGUGAGAUGUUGGGUUAAGUCCCGCAACGAGCGCAACCCUCGUUCCAUGUUGCCAGCGCGUAAUGGCGGGGACUCAUGGGAGACUGCCGGGGUCAACUCGGAGGAAGGUGGGGACGACGUCAAAUCAUCAUGCCCCUUAUGUCUUGGGCUUCACGCAUGCUACAAUGGCCGGUACAAAGGGUUGCGAUACUGUGAGGUGGAGCUAAUCCCAAAAAGCCGGUCUCAGUUCGGAUUGGGGUCUGCAACUCGACCCCAUGAAGUCGGAGUCGCUAGUAAUCGCAGAUCAGCAACGCUGCGGUGAAUACGUUCCCGGGCCUUGUACACACCGCCCGUCAAGUCACGAAAGUUGGUAACACCCGAAGCCGGUGGCCUAACCCCUUGUGGGAGGGAGCUGUCGAAGGUGGGACUGGCGAUUGGGACU